This 441-nucleotide ribosomal RNA is filed under the name uncultured bacterium. RNAcentral's name for it is "bacterial SSU rRNA". It matches the Rfam family "Bacterial small subunit ribosomal RNA", at positions 29 to 517 of the family's 1533-position model. The record is from RNAcentral.
AACGAACGCUGGCGGCAGGCCUAACACAUGCAAGUCGAGCGCCCCGCAAGGGAGCGGCGGACGGGUGAGUAACGCGUGGGAACGUACCCUUUGCUACGGAAUAGCCUCGGGAAACUGGGAGUAAUACCGUAUGUGCCCUUCGGGGGAAAGAUUUAUCGGCAAAGGAUCGGCCCGCGUUGGAUUAGGUAGUUGGUGGGGUAAUGGCAUACCAAGCCGACGAUCCAUAGCUGGUUUGAGAGGAUGAUCAGCCACACUGGGACUGAGACACGGCCCAGACUCCUACGGGAGGCAGCAGUGGGGAAUCUUAGACAAUGGGCGCAAGCCUGAUCUAGCCAUGCCCGCGUGAGCGAUGAAGGCCUUAGGGUUGUAAAGCUCUUUUACCAGGGACGAUGAUGACGGUACCUGGAGAAUAAGCCCCGGCUAACUUCGUGCCAGCAGCCG